This 75-nucleotide transfer RNA is filed under the name Candidatus Improbicoccus pseudotrichonymphae. RNAcentral describes it as "tRNA-Glu". It matches the Rfam family "tRNA". From Rfam's summary of the family: Transfer RNA (tRNA) molecules are approximately 80 nucleotides in length. Their secondary structure includes four short double-helical elements and three loops (D, anti-codon, and T loops). The record is from RNAcentral. Lineage: Bacteria; Bacillati; Bacillota; Clostridia.
GGCUCGGUGGUCAAGUGGUUAAGACACUGCCCUUUCACGGCGGUAACACGGGUUCGAAUCCCGUCCGAGUCACCA